Molecule: transfer RNA, 68 nt
Filed under: bovine gut metagenome
Rfam family: tRNA
About the family: Transfer RNA (tRNA) molecules are approximately 80 nucleotides in length.
Source: RNAcentral
CGGAUGUAACUCAGUGGCAGAGUGCCAGCUUCCCAAGCUGGUUAUGCGGGUUCGAUUCCCGUCAUCCG